UUCAAUAAAUGUUUUUCAAGUACCUCUCUAUUUUCUAUAUACAAACAAAACCUAGCUAAAAACAUUCAAUUAAAAUAAUAUACAAACUUAAAUUGAAAAGUACAACAUUAUCUUCAUAAGAGGUGAUCUUUGUUUCUGCAUCAGUGUCUUCUUCUUGAUGUAUUUCUUAGAUACCUAGUAGAAUAAACACAAAAUUAAUAUAAAAUUAAGUAACAAAUACCAAAAAAUUAAAAGAUUUUUUCAUAGGACAGUAAAUAUACUAACCUUCAAUAUCACAAAAAUAAAAUAAAUACACCUAUUGACCUUUAAUAUCAUCAGUUGUAAUUGAAUUGAUUUUGUGAUUCUAGAUUCAAUGUAAAACACGGUGGAUAUUCAAACUCACAUAUCCUCUAGGAUGAAGCCUCAUCCAUACUUAUCUCUUGCUUGAAGCCUAAUCAAUGGUGAAGCAUGACCUCAACAAUCCUAAGGUUCAACAAAACUCCAUGGCUCUCAAAGAACCAAGCUGCUUAUGUGUGCCUGAUACUCUUAUUAUUGGGCUAAACCAAAUGAACACAAGGCCCAAGUAAUAAAAUAUUUUAACAUCAAACCCAUGCACCAAAUAUUUGAAGCCCAAUCAAAAAGCAAAUGAGACCCAAGCCCAUAUAAAAAUUAAAUUAAAACCAUCUCAACAAGUACUGUAGAGAUCCAAGGAAACUUACCUACGUCUCUUGAAGCCCUAAGAUGAAGAACGAAGUGGCAACCAUGGAGAUGGUGGUGUUGAUGUCAGUCCAACAAAAUUCAAUGGGUAGUGCAGGAGGUACCAAGGCUGUGGGCUGCAACAAUGGUGGCUAUGAUGGUGAUGGAACAUCAAGAAUCACAUCGGGGUUAUGGCGAAACAUCGGGAAGCACGUUUGAGUCGUAGUGAACAUGGGAACAAUAGCCAUGGGGGAAUAUAAAGAUGGUGGCAUGGUGGGUGUGGGACUCAUGGAUGGUAACAACACAGGAGAUGGAGGUGGUGGCGUAGAGGCUGCCAUGAAUAUGAGGAUGAGAGGAUGAAAAAAGAAAGAAGAAAGAAGAAGAAAGAAGAAAAAAAAUAGGAAAAUAAGAGAAAAAGGAAGAUGGGGAAGAUGGGGCGGCUGUAAGUGGAAGGAAA
This 1132-nucleotide long non-coding RNA is filed under the name Vitis vinifera (wine grape). RNAcentral describes it as "long non-coding RNA (VVIN_LNC006920)". Lineage: Eukaryota; Viridiplantae; Streptophyta; Magnoliopsida; Vitales; Vitaceae. The record is from RNAcentral.